This is a non-coding RNA of Xyrichtys novacula (pearly razorfish), 712 nucleotides long. Lineage: Eukaryota; Metazoa; Chordata; Actinopteri; Labriformes; Labridae. The record is from the annotation of a GenBank genome assembly.
AUAAUUUAUAUCUAAUCAUUUAUAAAAUGUGCCUUUUCUGCAGGAAUUUUUCUGCAACAAUUCAGGAACCUUUUAGGUUCUGUCGGACCAGAAGUUCCUGAUACUUUAGGCCUGGUGGUGUAUGCUCACCUCAUAUUAGGAGGUUAUUCUGUGUGGUUCUCUUCUCUCAUGUUCUCUCUCUCUCUCUCCUCUGUCCAACCCUCUCCAAACAAAAGAAAACAAGUCUGAAAACAUCAACGUUCCCGAAACUCUCAGUUCAGAGAUUCUUUUCUCUUUAGAAGACAGAAUGGUCCCUGUGGUCCUGAAGUCGAAGGUCCAGGACAGAUAUGAAGAUCAGCUGUUCAUUUGAGUCUUCACAAACUGUGUUGGCAGCAGGUACACACAGGUGUCAGAUCAUCUCCUGUCACGUGAUCACCUGAAUAACAGGUAGACUGAUGAUGUCACGGGGGAUCAUCCGUUCACUUACAGGUAAACAAGUUUAAUAUCAGGUAAUAUUAAUAUUAGGUAAGUGAGAGCUGAACUGACCACACACAGGGGUUAGACUGACCUUAUCUGUGUGUGUGUGUGUGUGUGUGUGUGUCUCCUGUCAGGCAGAGCUGAGGGCAGACUGAGCUCAGGCUCUCAGCAGCAUGAACACAGAUGAGCUCCAAACAUGAGAGAGCAGAGAGGAGGAGAAACAAUGACCGCAUCCUACCUCCACACACACACACAC